GAUGAACGCUAGCUACAGGCUUAACACAUGCAAGUCGAGGGGAAACGACAUCGAAAGCUUGCUUUUGAUGGGCGUCGACCGGCGCACGGGUGAGUAACGCGUAUCCAACCUGCCCAUCACUUGGGAAUAACCUUGCGAAAGUAAGACUAAUACCCAAUGACAUCCCACGAAGACAUCUGAAUGGGAUUAAAGAUUUAUCGGUGAUGGAUGGGGAUGCGUCUGAUUAGCUUGUUGGCGGGGUAACGGCCCACCAAGGCAACGAUCAGUAGGGGUUCUGAGAGGAAGGUCCCCCACAUUGGAACUGAGACACGGUCCAAACUCCUACGGGAGGCAGCAGUGAGGAAUAUUGGUCAAUGGGCGAGAGCCUGAACCAGCCAAGUAGCGUGCAGGAUGACGGCCCUAUGGGUUGUAAACUGCUUUUAUAAGGGAAUAAAGUGGGUCUCGUGAGACUUUUUGCAUGUACCUUAUGAAUAAGGACCGGCUAAUUCCGUG
This 492-nucleotide ribosomal RNA is filed under the name uncultured bacterium. RNAcentral describes it as "partial 16S ribosomal RNA". It matches the Rfam family "Bacterial small subunit ribosomal RNA", at positions 28 to 507 of the family's 1533-position model. The record is from RNAcentral.